Molecule: transfer RNA, 59 nt
Filed under: Uromastyx dispar
Lineage: Eukaryota; Metazoa; Chordata; Lepidosauria; Squamata; Agamidae
Description: tRNA-Ser
Source: RNAcentral
GAAGGGUUCCAAAGGGUUGCUACCCCUUUAAACCCGAGACUUAAACCUCGGACCCAUCA